This 77-nucleotide transfer RNA is filed under the name Acidobacteriota bacterium. RNAcentral describes it as "Acidobacteria bacterium tRNA-Met". It matches the Rfam family "tRNA". From Rfam's summary of the family: Transfer RNA (tRNA) molecules are approximately 80 nucleotides in length. Their secondary structure includes four short double-helical elements and three loops (D, anti-codon, and T loops). Further hydrogen bonds mediate the characteristic L-shaped molecular structure. tRNAs have two regions of fundamental functional importance: the anti-codon, which is responsible for specific mRNA codon recognition, and the 3' end, to which the tRNAs corresponding amino acid is attached (by aminoacyl-tRNA synthetases). tRNAs cope with the degeneracy of the genetic code in two manners: having more than one tRNA (with a specific anti-codon) for a particular amino acid; and 'wobble' base-pairing, i.e. permitting non-standard base-pairing at the 3rd anti-codon position. Lineage: Bacteria; Pseudomonadati; Acidobacteriota. The record is from RNAcentral. RNAcentral also lists the same sequence under 1 other name.
CGCGGGGUGGAGCAGUCUGGUAGCUCGUCGGGCUCAUAACCCGAAGGUCGCCAGUUCAAAUCUGGCCCCCGCAACCA